This 350-nucleotide ribosomal RNA is filed under the name uncultured bacterium. RNAcentral describes it as "partial 16S ribosomal RNA". It matches the Rfam family "Bacterial small subunit ribosomal RNA", at positions 338 to 685 of the family's 1533-position model. The record is from RNAcentral.
CCUACGGGUGGCAGCAGUGAGGAAUAUUGGUCAAUGGGCGCAAGCCUGAACCAGCCAAGUCGCGUGAAGGAUGACUGCCCUACGGGUUGUAAACUUCUUUUAUAAAGGAGUAAAGUGAGGCAAGUGUGCCUGUUUGUAAGUACUUUAUGAAUAAGGAUCGGCUAACUCCGUGCCAGCAGCCGCGGUAAUACGGAGGAUCCGAGCGUUAUCCGGAUUUAUUGGGUUAAAAGGGAGCGUAGAUGGGUUGUUAAGUCAGUGGUGAAAGUUUGCGGAUCAACCGUAAAAUGGCAAUGGAUAAUGGCAGUCUUGAUUACAGUGCAGGUAGGCGGAAUUCGUGGGGUAGCGGUGAA